AUGUUUAAAUCAGAAACGAUACCAAGAUUUAAAAAGAAGCAAACUAGGCAAGACGCUAUCUUUGAAGAAGGAGCUUUACAAGUACACACUAGAGAGCUAACUUGCUUCUCCUCUUCCACAUCCUGGCUUCAAAGGACUGGACGACUUGCCCGCACUGUCUCCAUUGCAGCCGGUUUCCGAGGAGGAGGCUAUUCGGAUUAUUGCAGACCCUCCACUGCCCCUUCUUCAUUCACACUUCGAGACUACGUGGAUCAUUCGGAGACUCUGCAGAAGUUAGUGCUUCUAGAUAAUGAACCUCCACUGGGGGACUGAGAGGAACAAGUCAGGUAAGGGGUUGUCUCAAAUCCAUCUGUUUCUCUCAUUUCCUAGUCACUGCCUUAGUUUAAGUCCUCAGUUUUUAGUGAAAAGUUAGAGCUUUCUAACUUGAUCGUCUUCUUUUCGGCAGUAUUGCCCUGGUAAUCUCUCUAACAUUAGUGCUCUUUCUGUGAUGCACAUCUGCCUGUGUCAGUGAGCCGCUUGAAACCCUUCAAAGCUCUUCCCAGUCUGGCCCUUGCUUACCCUUUCUGCUUCACUUGCUUGCCACUUCCCUCCUUUCUGUUGACCAGGUCUGACAGCUGGAGAACUUGAGUUCAAGUAACUUUCCAAAUGUCUUCUCUGACCCUCCUCUGGGCUCUUUGCAUCAUGCCCUGGUUAAUUCAGUCCCAACGCUAAUAGCAUUGUUAGAAUUGUUUACUCAUCUGUCCUUGUACACGUUACUCAAAUGUAUAGGGAAUGGCUUUUGUUCUCAAGAAGCUUCAGGUCUUCAGAAGCAUCGAAAUACACAUAUAGAAGAAUAACAAAUCCAAAAAUGAAAGGUAAAGUGAUAAAUCCUACGUAAGAAAUAGAAAUAGGAGUUCCCGUCGUGGCGCAGUGGAAACAAAUCUGAUUAGAACCAUGAGGCUGUGGAUUCAAUCCCUGGCCUCGCUUAGGGGGUUAAAGAUCUGGCGUUGCCGUGAGCUCUGGUGAGCGGCUCAGAUCUGGCAUUGCUGUGGCUGCGGCGUAGGCCAGCAGCUAUAGCUCCAAUUAGUCCCCUAGCCUGGAAACUUCUAUAUACCUCAGGUGCGGCCCUAAAAAGCAAAAUACAUAUAUAUAGAAAUAAAGAUUUCUGUGUGUUCA
This 1155-nucleotide long non-coding RNA is filed under the name Sus scrofa (pig). RNAcentral's name for it is "lncRNA (ENSSSCG00070010551.1)". Lineage: Eukaryota; Metazoa; Chordata; Mammalia; Artiodactyla; Suidae. The record is from RNAcentral.